UACUCGCAUCGAUGCCCUACAGGCCCGGU
RNAcentral lists this small RNA (29 nucleotides) under Bombyx mori (domestic silkworm). Its description in RNAcentral is "ovarian small RNA-6177". The record is from RNAcentral. Lineage: Eukaryota; Metazoa; Arthropoda; Insecta; Lepidoptera; Bombycidae.